Molecule: ribosomal RNA, 282 nt
Filed under: uncultured bacterium
Lineage: Bacteria
Description: partial 16S ribosomal RNA
Rfam family: Bacterial small subunit ribosomal RNA
Source: RNAcentral
GUGCCAGCCGCCGCGGUAAUACGUAGGGGGCGAGCGUUGUCCGGAUUUAUUGGGCGUAAAGGAGCUCGUAGGCGGUUCAACAAGUCGGUCGUGAAAGUUCAGGGCUCAACCCUGAAAUGUCGAUCGACACUGUUGUGACUAGGAUACGGCAGAGGUGAGUGGAAUUCCGAGUGUAGCGGUGAAAUGCGUAGAUAUUCGGAGGAACACCAAUUGCGAAGGCAGCUCACUGGGCCGCUAUCGACGCUGAGGAGCGAAAUCUAGGGAAGCAAACAGGAUUAGAUA